RNAcentral lists this ribosomal RNA (407 nucleotides) under uncultured bacterium. RNAcentral's name for it is "partial 16S ribosomal RNA". It matches the Rfam family "Bacterial small subunit ribosomal RNA", at positions 28 to 526 of the family's 1533-position model. The record is from RNAcentral.
GACGAACGCUGGCGGCGCGCUUAACACAUGCAAGUCGAGCGAAGCGGCGGACGGGUGAGUAACACGUGAGUAACCUGCCUUAGACAUUGGGAUAGCCUCGGGAAACCGGGAUUAAUACCAAAUGGUCUAAGAUGGACUCGCGUCCCAUUAGCUAGUUGGUGAGGUAACGGCCCACCAAGGCGACGAUGGGUAGCCGGCCUGAGAGGGUGAACGGCCACAUUUGAGCUGAGAAACGGUCCGAAAUCUACGGGAGGCAGCAGUGGCGAAUAUUGCACAAUGGAGGGAACUCUGAGGCAGCGACGCCGGGUGAACGAAGAAGGCUGUCGAGUCGGAAAGUUCUUUUAUAUGGGAAGCGGUACCAUAAGAAAAAGCCCCGGCUAACUACGUGCCAGCAGCCGCGGUAAUUC